RNAcentral lists this transfer RNA (59 nucleotides) under Platerodrilini gen. sp. UPOL VP0010. Its description in RNAcentral is "tRNA-Glu". Lineage: Eukaryota; Metazoa; Arthropoda; Insecta; Coleoptera; Lycidae. The record is from RNAcentral.
UUUAUGUAGUUUAAAAAAUAAACAUUACAUUUUCAUUGUAAAAUUAAAUCUUUUCUUAA